AUUUCUCAACUGUUAUCAAGCUUUAUUGCUGUUAAUUCGUUGGACUUGGGGGUUCUGGCGUUUUAUGUCGGCUCCCCUUAAAUCUAUUAGCUGGUUUCUAAUGACUUGUCUAAUUGGUGUGAUAAAUUAUCUACGCCAUUGACUUGUUGUUUUUACCGCUUCUAAUUGUCUGUUCAUUCAGACUAUAUAAUGACA
This 195-nucleotide unclassified non-coding RNA is filed under the name Pholiota flammans. RNAcentral describes it as "partial internal transcribed spacer 2". Lineage: Eukaryota; Fungi; Basidiomycota; Agaricomycetes; Agaricales; Strophariaceae. The record is from RNAcentral.